AUGGUAAUUAGUUUAAGCCAAAACAAAUGAUUUCGACUCAUUAGAUUAUGAAUCAUCUCAUAAUUAUC
This is a transfer RNA of 68 nucleotides. It matches the Rfam family "tRNA". Rfam says of the family: Transfer RNA (tRNA) molecules are approximately 80 nucleotides in length. Their secondary structure includes four short double-helical elements and three loops (D, anti-codon, and T loops).